GACGAACGCUGGCGGCGUGCUUAACACAUGCAAGUCGAACGGUGAAGGGACUGGUUUUGCUGGUCCUGGAUGAGUGGCGAACGGGUGGGUAACACGUGAGUAACCUGCCCCCUUCUUCUGGAUAACCGCAUGAAAGUGUGGCUAAUACGGGAUAUUCUGGGUCUGUCGCAUGGUGGGCCUGGGAAAGAUUGCGCCUUUUUUGGUGUUUUUGGUGGGGGAUGGGCUCGCGGCCUAUCAGCUUGUUGGUGGGGUGAUGGCCUACCAAGGCGGUGACGGGUAGCCGGCCUGAGAGGGUGGACGGUCACACUGGGACUGAGACACGGCCCAGACUCCUACGGGAGGCAGCAGUGGGGAAUAUUGCACAAUGGGCGCAAGCCUGAUGCAGCGACGCCGCGUGAGGGAUGGAGGCCUUCGGGUUGUGAACCUCUUUCGCCAGUGAAGCAGGCCUGCCUCUUUUUGUGGGUGGGUUGACGGUAGCUGGAUAAGAAGCGCCGGCUAACUACGUG
Molecule: ribosomal RNA, 506 nt
Filed under: uncultured bacterium
Lineage: Bacteria
Description: partial 16S ribosomal RNA
Rfam family: Bacterial small subunit ribosomal RNA
Source: RNAcentral